This is a long non-coding RNA of Diorhabda carinulata, 1931 nucleotides long. RefSeq lists it as uncharacterized. The record is from RefSeq and is a predicted model, not a curated record. The transcript has 3 exons. Lineage: Eukaryota; Metazoa; Arthropoda; Insecta; Coleoptera; Chrysomelidae.
AGCUAAUUUCGAGUCAUCGUUAAUGAAAGUACCUUGUUCAGGUUUGGUAUUAAUCGUGUCAGCUGUUUUUUAUGCCGGAUAAUGGUGUGUGUGAUUAUUCUCUACAUUUUAAUAACAAUUUUAGCAGAAAGUUUCGGGAUUUUCAUAAUAUGUAUUUCAAAAGAAAUGUGACGGCUAAAUUUCCGUGUCAUGCAGAAACAGCGGGGAGCGGAGCGAUGCCAAGAGUGAUGGAAGAGGUCAUUUGUGAUCAACAAAAUGCCAUCCGAGUUAUUACGUUAUGAGGCGAACUGGAAUAAAGGAGAUACACUGGCCGGUUGGUACAUUUACUAUAAAAAAGUUAUAACAGAUAAGUACCUGAAUCCGCAAAGCGACGGGGAAAAAUUGGAGUAUCGGGUAGUGUAAUGCAGAUUUAAUUUUUCAUAACUCUGCCCCUGUACAUUUCCGCAAUGAGUGGUUGCAGAUUUUGAUUCCUCACCUCCAACUUAAUUUACACCGAACUUAGAAUGUUCAGAGACGGAAUCACCAAAGAAAAACCAUCCCUAAAUAAUGAUCUCAGCUCUUAAGCAGCAAACAGAACUGAAGCAGUAAUUUAUGCAAUUGAAAAUGUGUUCAGUUCAAUCUAGAGAAAUACUGCAAACAGGAGAUCAUCACCCUGUCCGAUAGCCAGCAGCCAUUAGAGGUUUAAGCUGCAAUAUCAUUAAAUAUAAACUUGUUUGGAAUUGGCUACAAAAAUAGGAAAGCUAGGCAGAAAAAAUGAAGUUAUCCAACAAUGGAUUCCGGGACAUACCGAAGCGAAGGGAAAUUAAAUAGCUGAUAAGCUCGUCAAAGCGGUGGCGGACAAGUCUUUCAUUGGAUACCUUCUGGGAUAUUAGCUAUAGAACAAUAGAAAUUGCACUGAAAAUAAGGUAGAUAAAAGCAAAACCAAUUAUUGGGACAACCUACAGAGGCUGAGACAGGCAAAGACUUCCUGGGAAACUAUAACCAGAGAAAAUCUGCUGAAUGUAUCAAUAAAUUAGAAUAAUCUACAAAUACUAACAGGGUAUUGUCGCCUCAAUGGACACUUGAAGCCUCUUGAAGCAGAUUUUGUUGCAUAGAGGACGAAACCUCUAUCCAUAUUCUCUCGAUGUGUCAAACACGAAACUCCAGAUCAAUACACCUAAAAGCGUAUGAAAUAGAAGACGGAGAUCUUUGACAGCUACAACCAUCCCAUAUUGUGGAGUUUUUAAAACGAGUGGGGUUGAGAGAUCAGUUGUAAACACUGGGUUCCCCAGAAUCGCAUCAAGAAAUGGGCCGCAGUGUAUAUGACGCUCCUAUAUCACACCAUAUAUUUCACCAUAAUAAACGUGAUAAGAGAGUUGCUUUACAAGUUUUUAAAAUCGAACAAUACGUGGUGUUAAUAAGUUGGGUACUCACUUUAUUUCAGAACAUUAACGCAAUUUUGAAAUUGACUAAAUUGUUUGGAUGUUUAAAAGACGCCAGUUUAAGCGAAAAUGGAAAUCAUCUAUGAAAGCAUACGUUAAAUGAUAUUUUAUAAAUUUAAAAAAAAACCUUACUCAACAACAAUUUACAGAAUCGCUUCGUGCAGUUUUUGGUAAUGAAGCACCAUCAGAGAAUGCAGGUCGGGCGACUGUCAGUUAUGCAUGUCGAGAAAAUUCUCCAAAAUCGGUUGUCAUUCGAUUAGAAUCAAUGUCUCAUUGCCUGUAUUCACCUGAUUUAUCGUCUUUUUCUUGUUUCCCGCUAUCAAAUAAAAUAUGCUCGAAUAGCGAUUUCCAUCACCUCAAAAUGCUGUUGACGACUUUUCAAACAAUGGUUCUACAAUAUCAGUUUCAAAGUGGAAAAUAUAUUUCUAGAAUUAGUUUGAGUUUAUGCAAAAAUAUAUAUAGGCCUCAACAGGAAUAUUUCGAAAAGCAAUAAAGCACUUCGAACUUGUU